Neltuma alba is the source of this 627-nucleotide long non-coding RNA. RefSeq lists it as uncharacterized. The transcript is spliced from 2 exons. NCBI's taxonomy places the organism in Eukaryota, Viridiplantae, Streptophyta, Magnoliopsida, Fabales, Fabaceae. The record is from RefSeq and is a predicted model, not a curated record.
AAAAGAAGCGAUCCAGGGUUCCAUGCAUGAACACUGUUCUAUAUAUAUCUACAGUCCUUCACCAUCUUCAUCAACUCAAACUUUCAUCUGAUACACACACACACACACACACACUGAUAAAUCUUAUUAUUACCAAGCAUACGGCUGCCUCAAUUUUCAAGUUCACUGUCUUCCUCUGCAUUGCCCUUGUCCUUUUCUCUCCCAGCGAGAAUAAUAUUGCGGAAGCAAAACUGUGUAGAAGACUGAGCAGCACAUUUUCUGGGUUUUGUGGUCGCAAUUGUCCAUGUGAUGUUAAAUGCUUAAGAGAGGGUGCUGUUUCAGGAAGCUGCCAUGUUCAUGGUUUUGGACGUGCUUGCUUCUGCUACCGCAAAUGUUGAAGGAGGGAACCUUUCACGUGCCUUCCUCGUACCUAUCUCUCUAAUGCCGUGAUUGAAUAAAAUAAAUAGUGCUUCUGUACGUUAAAAGUUCUACGCAUCAGGACUUGUCUUGUCUGGCUCUGUGUCCCUAUCUCGCGUGUGUUUCUUUUUUUAACUUUUCCAUGCUCUUUCUGGUGGUUUUAUGUCUUUUAUAGUGAUAUUGUGCCAGUACUUUCUAGUCCUUUUGGCUAAAACAAAGAGGAGUUUGGUA